CCUACGGGAGGCAGCAGUAGGGAAUUUUGCGCAAUGGGGGAAAUCCUGACGCAGCAACGCCGCGUGAGUGAUGAAGCCCUCCGGGGUGUAAAGAUCUGUCAGUCGGGGCGAAACUUGACGGUAGCCACAGAGGAAGCAUCGACUAACUCAGUGCGCGCAGCCGCGGUAAGACGGGGGAUGCAAGCGUGGUCCGGAAUCAUUGGGCGUAAAAGGUUCGUUGGGGGCACGUUAAGUCUGGUGUUAAAUGCUGGGGCUCAACCUCUGUUCGGCAUUGGAAACUGGCGGUCUUGAAUGCGGUAGAGGUAAAGGGAAUUCCUGGUGUAGCGGUGAAAUGCGUAGAUAUCAGGAGGAACAUCGUUGGCGAAAGCGCUUUACUGGGCCGUAAUUGACACUGAGGAACGAAAGCCAGGGUAGCAAAUGGGAUUAGAUACCCUAGUAGUC
This 441-nucleotide ribosomal RNA is filed under the name uncultured bacterium. RNAcentral's name for it is "partial 16S ribosomal RNA". It matches the Rfam family "Bacterial small subunit ribosomal RNA", at positions 338 to 795 of the family's 1533-position model. The record is from RNAcentral.